Molecule: ribosomal RNA, 497 nt
Filed under: uncultured bacterium
Lineage: Bacteria
Description: partial 16S ribosomal RNA
Rfam family: Bacterial small subunit ribosomal RNA
Source: RNAcentral
GAUGAACGCUGGCGGCGUGCCUAAUACAUGCAAGUCGAGCGAACGGACGAGAAGCUUGCUUCUCUGAUGUUAGCGGCGGACGGGUGAGUAACACGUGGAUAACCUACCUAUAAGACUGGGAUAACUUCGGGAAACCGGAGCUAAUACCGGAUAAUAUUUUGAACCGCAUGGUUCAAAAGUGAAAGACGGUCUUGCUGUCACUUAUAGAUGGAUCCGCGCUGCAUUAGCUAGUUGGUAAGGUAACGGCUUACCAAGGCAACGAUGCAUAGCCGACCUGAGAGGGUGAUCGGCCACACUGGAACUGAGACACGGUCCAGACUCCUACGGGAGGCAGCAGUAGGGAAUCUUCGGCAAUGGGCGAAAGCCUGACGGAGCAACGCCGCGUGAGUGAUGAAGGUCUUCGGAUCGUAAAACUCUGUUAUUAGGGAAGAACAUAUGUGUAAGUAACUGUGCACAUCCUGACGGUACCUAAUCAGAAAGCCACGGCUAACUACGUG